GACGAACGCUGGCGGCGUGCUUAACACAUGCAAGUCGAACGGAAAGGCCCUGCUUUUGUGGGGUGCUCGAGUGGCGAACGGGUGAGUAACACGUGAGUAACCUGCCCUUGACUUUGGGAUAACUUCAGGAAACUGGGGCUAAUACCGGAUAGGAGCUCCUGCUGCAUGGUGGGGGUUGGAAAGUUUCGGCGGUUGGGGAUGGACUCGCGGCUUAUCAGCUUGUUGGUGGGGUAGUGGCUUACCAAGGCUUUGACGGGUAGCCGGCCUGAGAGGGUGACCGGCCACAUUGGGAGUGAGAUACGGCCCAGACUCCUACGGGAGGCAGCAGUGGGGAAUAUUGCACAAUGGGCGAAAGCCUGAUGCAGCAACGCCGCGUGCGGGAUGACGGCCUUCGGGUGGUAAACCGCUUUCGCCUGUGACGAAGCGUGAGUGACGGUAAUGGGUAAAGAAGCACCGGCUAACUACGU
RNAcentral lists this ribosomal RNA (467 nucleotides) under uncultured bacterium. RNAcentral's name for it is "partial 16S ribosomal RNA". It matches the Rfam family "Bacterial small subunit ribosomal RNA", at positions 28 to 506 of the family's 1533-position model. The record is from RNAcentral.